Molecule: non-coding RNA, 3019 nt
Organism: Macaca mulatta (Rhesus monkey)
Lineage: Eukaryota; Metazoa; Chordata; Mammalia; Primates; Cercopithecidae
Source: RefSeq, a predicted model, not a curated record
UGGAACUCUUAACCACUGAGGUAUACCAAAGUUUAUUAUUAUUAUUUUGGCCCCAAAAUUGGGUAACACUGAUCCAAUCAAAAGACUUCUUAGUUUUUGGAUUACUGAAUAAAACUCCUGAAAGUACAAUUUCACAUACAUGUCACCCCCCUUCCCCCAACUGGGUCUCAAAGAUAAUAUCAAAGCGAAAUUCCGCAUUAGCUUGCCUAGUCCUAUUAUGGCCUAGUAAAUGUUUUUCUAUUUUAUUUAGAAGAACUUGUAAUCUGGUUCCCACUCUUCUUUCUUUGCAUGUUUUACAGAACACAUUGUGCUUGCAGAGAGAGCAAACCAUGCCUGUCUCUUGUGGAGCCCACAGUGCUGUGUGCUUAGUGCGGCAAUUGGGCCAGGAAUGAAAACAACUACACCAUAGUAACAAUCCGUCAUUCUGUCCAUCUGCUACCCAAGAGGGAUCUUAAAAUAGUUUCAAUUCACCUUUAAAAUCCACUGCUCUAUGAAGGGCUUGUAACACUUGGCGGCCUUGGAAGCCUGCCUGAGAAACAGGACCGCUAUUCGGACUACUGGUGUCCAGCUGUAAGCCUCCUUGGAGGGAAACAAGCCAUCCAUUCAUUGGGCUGUUGUGAAAUUUUCCUUCCCCACCAGCCCUCCCAGCCAAGAAGGAGAAUACCUGGAGGAAUGGCAUUCUGGAUUUUUGUUCUUCCUAAUGUAGGGCCUGAGUUUUUAUUUUCUUAAUGGCCUACUCUUUUUUUCCUUCCUGUUUAACCCUCUUCUGCUCCAACUCCCCAACCCUACAACUUUCCCUUUCUUUUAACUUUUCUUUCUUCAGCUGAGAGAUUGGGUGUGAGUUGAGACUUUACGGUCUAGAAUUUCAAAAUCGAUUCAUGGAGUAACUAUCCCCAAACCAGCACACUUUUAAUUAGGGUAGGAGUAAUGAAAUGGGAGACUCCCUGGACCCCUCUGUGGGACUUGCAACAGGGGUGUGGCUCGUUUGCUUGGCCACCACAUGCUCAAAUCUCUUACAGGAGGGGAGCAUGCAGGUGAGCAGGAGACGGAGCCAGGGUGAGCGCCUUUGGGCUCUGGCCCCAUGGCAAUGUCUACGAGUAUUACAAUGCUCUUUUAGCCCUGCUGUCCGGGGAUGGCUUAAGUGUUAAACAGCUCAGCGAAGAGUCAGGGUGACAGCCUUUUUGGGUCUCUGCACCCAGUGCAUCCCAAAUUUUGCCUUGCAUCCAGGAAGAAUGAAGUUACAGGUACUUGAAGGAUGGUGAAUGCGGGGAUCUUAUUGGGUGAUGGAGGUGGCUCUCAGUGGGAUGGGAAGCUGGAGAGGGGAUAGAGUGGGAAGAUGAUCUUCUCCUGGAGUUCAGUCAUCCUGAAGCUGAUCUCCUCUCCCAAUGCCCCCAGCCGAACUCCUCUCAGAUGCUUCCCCUCUUCUCUCAUUCUCUGCCAUGCUGCUCUGCUGCUCUGCCAUACUUCUGCUCAUGGAGCCUGGGGAUUGGGAUUUUUAUAGGUAUAGGAUGGGGGUGUGGUGGGCCACGGUGGUCUUGGAAGAGGCAACAUUUGGGGGCAAAAACAGGAAUGCCUAUUCCCAUUUAAAGCCUCGGGUUUCCAGGCUUGAGGGUGGGGCCUUUGCUGGGGAAACGCCCUCUACUACCUAGUAUUUCCUUGCCUCCUGUCCGUAUCCGUAGUACGAGUAAAGUGAGACCUUCCUGGGCAAACCCUGACAUCUGGUCCCUGGGGUUAACUCUGGCUCCACUGAGCAGCACCAAAGAGCAUGGAGAUGCUCAGCAUGUGGCGGCUGCAGAGAGCAGCAUCAUGCUUUGUUGGCUCCUGGUUCUAGUGCCUAACUGUGUUCUAGAUCUUGACAGGGCAUAGCCAGUGGGGAUUAAAACAGGACAGAAGAUUGCCCUUCUUGCUAUUUCCAUUUUUUAAAAGGUUACAUUCUCAGUAUUCUAGUAGUCUAACCUAUCAUAUCUCUAGGUGAAUUUGAAAGUUAGAUUGCAAAAUUUCAAUCUCACACAUUUUUUUCCAUUUUAUUUUCAUUUAGGCUGUGAAACCUAGCUUAAAAUAAACUUACAGUAGUUUCUGUUUCUUAUGGGAGACGACGUAGGCCUUAGAUUAUUUACUGUCUCUUUCUGAAGAAUUUAACUCAAACAUGGGUAUCAGACCAAAUCAUACAAUUUAUAUCAACAAUGUGAAUGGCAAAAUUAAAAAGGAAGAAUUGAAGAGAUCCCUAUAUGCCCUGUUUUCUUAGUUUGGUCAUGUGGUGGACUUUGUGGCUUUAAGGACCAUGAAGAUGAAGGGCAGGCCUUUGUCAUAUUUAAGGAACUGGGCUCAUCCACAAGUGCUUUGAGACAGUCACAAGGAUUUCCAUUUCAUGGUAAACCAAUGUGAAUAUAUAUGCAAAAACAGAUUCGGAUAUAAUAUCUAAAAUGUGCGGCACUUUUGCUGACAAAGAAAAGAAGAAGGGCAAAACUGUGGAAUAGACUGCAACCACCACAAACAAAAGGCCUGGCUAGGGAACUCCAAAUUCAGCUAAUAUCCAAGGAAAUUCAACACCAAAUCCUCAGGUCCUUGAUUAUCCUCCAAACUAUAUUUUAUUCCUUAAUAACUUACCAGAAGAGACUAAUGAGAUGAUGUUAUCCAUGCUGUUUAAUCAGUUCCCUGGCUUCAAGGAAGUAUGUCUAGUACCAGGGAGGCAUGACAUUGCUUUUGUUGAAUUUGAAAAUGAUGGUCAGGCUGGAGCUGCCAGGGAUGCUUUGCAGGGAUUUAAGAUCACAACAUCCCAUGCUAUGAAGAUCACCUAUGCCAAGAAAUAACAUUUGGGAUAGUCAUCUUUAAAGGACUUGGUGUUAUUUAUAGUGUUUGUUUUGCUAACAUUUGGUUGGGUCAUUGUAAUAGAGAUUACGGGGAGUGAAAGUGAAAUUUUUGUGAAGGACUUAAAUUAUCUAGUGUUUCUUUAGCCUUGGUGAACUAUGAAAUACGAAGGCCUUAAUUUUGUACAAUAAACUUUUAUUUGUAUUCUGUG